Molecule: unclassified non-coding RNA, 368 nt
Filed under: fungal sp.
Lineage: Eukaryota; Fungi
Description: partial internal transcribed spacer region
Rfam family: Eukaryotic small subunit ribosomal RNA (bases 1-46)
Source: RNAcentral
AAGUCGUAACAAGGUUUCCGUAGGUGAACCUGCGGAAGGAUCAUUAACACGUAUCCAACGUUAAACAACUCUGUGAACCUUCACCCCUGCUCUCCUUGUAUUUCGGUACUUGGAUUUGAUGCGGUCGAAGCAAUUAGACUUGCCUCUGUGGGGUAGUCAGUGGGUGAAAGUGCCACUGGUUACUUAAGCGGAGUACUGCACCCGGACUAACCGGGGUGGGAUCAUCGAGUGUCCUCACGGCCGAUGAACAAGUCUCUGAGCGCAAGCUCCAAUAUUAACCCCGUCUUUAAUCUUGAGUGAGCAGUCGCUUCGGCGCCGCCACUGUCGUGAAAGCUGAACAACUGUUAACAAUGGAUAUCUUGGUUCUC